This 249-nucleotide long non-coding RNA is filed under the name Marmota monax (woodchuck). Lineage: Eukaryota; Metazoa; Chordata; Mammalia; Rodentia; Sciuridae. The record is from RNAcentral.
GUUCCCGGUUUUAAGAUAAUCCUGUUUAGGGCGUUCCCAGUUUAGGUUCCAGGUUUAAGGUUUAAGAUUAUUCCUGCUGGGAAUAGGGCGUAUCCUGCUGCCUGAGUUCCCCUUGAGUUCUCACGGGAUUCAGACAGUAUUUUGGGAGAUAGAAGCCCAGUGGAGGUGAAUUUGGGCAGAGAACGUGGAUUUGGGCAGAGAACGUGGAUUUGGGAAGAGAACGUGGAUUUCCCCAGAACGUGAUUGUAG